Non-coding RNA from Cicer arietinum (chickpea), 1774 nucleotides. NCBI's taxonomy places the organism in Eukaryota, Viridiplantae, Streptophyta, Magnoliopsida, Fabales, Fabaceae. The record is from RefSeq and is a predicted model, not a curated record.
UCAGGAAAAUAGAAACCCCUUCAAUCCCUAAAUGACCUCUCCUUCAAGCUACUCAGCUUCUUCCUUCGAUUGCGACUGCUCGUCACUUUUGGGCACCUUCUUCCAUCACUCAAGAAAGUCAGCACCGUCAAAGAUCUCUUGAUUCCUCGCGGCCGGGCCGGCUUGGAAGCAAGCUACAUGUCGCAUAUCUCACCCCCUUUCUUAUUAUUAGUAAGAUAGGUACCCCUUGCUCUUUGCUCCAGGUAACCCUAUCUUCUUACUGCAAGAUACUACCCUCUUUUGUUUCUCUUUGAAUUAAACCGUAAUUUGAUUCUUGAUUGAACAUUAUUUUAUUUCUCUAUGGUUUUUAUUGUGUUUCUCUUUGUAAAUUUGAGGUGUAUGCUUAUCCUUUUUUCCCUACUCAACGAUGAAUGUUCCAUGUCAUUAGAACAACCUUGCGAAAUCAUAUUCAACAAACCCUUUUCUACCUAUCUUGUCUCUCAAAGUGUGAAUGUCUGCAACCUGAUUUGGUUAAACUCAUUGUUGUCUUUAUUUUGCAGUUGAAAAAGAAUUUGGAGUUUGUUGUUUGUUGUUUUUCUCUUUGGAUUUUGCUGUCAAAAUAUUAGAUCACAAAUUCUAGUUGUUGCUGCUAGCUACUUAAUAGCAUCGUUGGGAUAAUUAGCAGUCAAGACUUUGAGGUUUAUUGUCAGAAAAUCCCUUGGGAAGUCAUGGUAUGCCAAUGCAGUUGAGGCUGCAUGCUCUCACUUGUCACAAGUUAGCUUUAUUGUUGAAAGAAGGGCUUCGAUGUUAGGUCACAAUAAACAUAAACUGACCGGGGGAACUCUUGCUAAGACUAGGGCAGCAACCACCAACUGGGGACACCAGCCAAGUAAACAAGAAGCUGAGAAAAUGAUGAGAGAAUCCACCUUGGAUAGACUUUCUUCUUUAAUUAGAAAUCAUGAGAAGAAACUAGCUCUGGCAAAAGCAAGGUUCAAGAAGGCUGAGAAGGAUUUAGCGAAAAUAUAGGGUGAUUUGGAACCAGCAGACCUUCCAUCUUAUUUGGAGACAUUAACUAAUGAAGAGAGAUUUUUGUUUAGGAAGAUUGGUCUGAGUAUGAAGCCAUAUUUACUUCUAGGGAGGCGAGAUGUUUAUGCUGGCACCAUAGAAAACAUGCAUCUACACUGGAAAUAUCGAGAGGUCGUAAAGAUAAUUGUGAAAGGGAAAAUAUCUACACAUGCUUCUACUUCCAUCCGCAGGUUACAAGACCCAAAAGCUUGUUGACACGAAGACAAGCAUUGGCUCGGUCUAUUGAGCUUCAAAGACGAGAGCAUUUUGGACUAUGAUGUGCUUAACUUGGAAGUGCCAACACUUCCUAUUGUUGGAUCAUUGAUAAAAUCUGGAGUUAGAGCUCUAAUUUACAGGUCAACCGCGUCGACACUUACUAACAACUGGAUGGAGUAAUUUUGUGACUUCCAAAAGAUUAGUUGUUGGAGAUACUUUUGUGUUUCUGAGGUAUUCAUUUGAUGUUUUCUUUUUCUUGGUUUCCUUGAUAUGGUUCAAAAAAUCAUCAUAUACUGUAAAAUCAUACAAUGUUUCUGUUUGACUAUGCAAACAUUAAAACUAAACAAGAUUUUAUGUUUAGAGGGAAACAAUGGAGAAUUACGCGUUGUAGUGAGGCAUCUUGCUUCACCUCAGAGCUGCAUGCAUUAACUGUGAUUUCUGGUCAGAGCAUGCACCUUGGAGUCCUUGCAACUGCAUCUCAUGUUGUUGCAACCCAAAAUUUUGUUGUUGACUA